AUUGAACGCUGGCGGCAUGCUUUACACAUGCAAGUCGGACGGCAGCACAGAGAAGCUUGCUUCUUGGGUGGCGAGUGGCGAACGGGUGAGUAAUAUAUCGGAACGUACCGAGCAGUGGGGGAUAACUAAUCGAAAGAUUAGCUAAUACCGCAUAUUUUCUGAGGAAGAAAGCAGGGGACCAUUUGGCCUUGCGCUGUUUGAGCGGCCGAUAUCUGAUUAGCUAGUUGGUGGGGUAAAGGCCUACCAAGGCGACGAUCAGUAGCGGGUCUGAGAGGAUGAUCCGCCACACUGGGACUGAGACACGGCCCAGACUCCUACGGGAGGCAGCAGUGGGGAAUUUUGGACAAUGGGCGCAAGCCUGAUCCAGCCAUGCCGCGUGUCUGAAGAAGGCCUUCGGGUUGUAAAGGACUUUUGUCAGGGAAGAAAAGGAUAGGGUUAAUACCCCUGUCUGA
RNAcentral lists this ribosomal RNA (452 nucleotides) under Neisseria pharyngis. RNAcentral describes it as "bacterial SSU rRNA". It matches the Rfam family "Bacterial small subunit ribosomal RNA", at positions 30 to 476 of the family's 1533-position model. Lineage: Bacteria; Pseudomonadati; Pseudomonadota; Betaproteobacteria; Neisseriales; Neisseriaceae. The record is from RNAcentral.